ACGAACGCUGGCGGCGUGCUUAACACAUGCAAGUCGCACGCUGAAGCUUGGUGCUUGCACUGGGUGGAUGAGUGGCGAACGGGUGAGUAAUACGUGAGUAACCUGCCCUUGACUCUGGGAUAAGCCUGGGAAACUGGGUCUAAUACUGGAUACGACAUGUCACCGCAUGGUGGUGUGUGGAAAGGGUUUUACUGGUUUUGGAUGGGCUCACGGCCUACCAGCUUGUUGGUGGGGUAAUGGCUCACCAAGGCGACGACGGGUAGCCGGCCUGAGAGGGUGACCGGCCACACUGGGACUGAGACACGGCCCAGACUCCUACGGGAGGCAGCAGUGGGGAAUAUUGCACAAUGGGCGGAAGCCUGAUGCAGCGACGCCGCGUGAGGGAUGACGGCCUUCGGGUUGUAAACCUCUUUCAGCACGGAAGAAGCGAAAGUGACGGUACGUGCAGAAGAAGCGCCGGCUAACUACGUG
Molecule: ribosomal RNA, 471 nt
Filed under: uncultured bacterium
Lineage: Bacteria
Description: partial 16S ribosomal RNA
Rfam family: Bacterial small subunit ribosomal RNA
Source: RNAcentral